CUGAGUAGAGCGGCGCACGGGUGAGUAACGCGUGGAUGAUCUACCCUUGAGUACGGGAUAACGGUGCGAAAGCGCCGCUAAUACCGAAUAACAAUCCAUUUCAUCAUGGGUUUAAAGCAGGCCUCUGAAUGUAAGCUUGCGCUUGAGGAUGAGUCCGCGUCCCAUUAGCUUGUUGGCGGGGUAACGGCCCACCAAGGCUACGAUGGGUAGCUGGUCUGAGAGGAUGAUCAGCCACACUGGAACUGAAACACGGUCCAGACUCCUACGGGAGGCAGCAGUGGGGAAUAUUGCGCAAUGGGGGAAACCCUGACGCAGCGACGUCGUGUGAGGGAAGAAGGCUUUCGGGUCGUAAACCUCUGUCAGAAGGGAAGAAACGUCAGGAUUCGAAUAGGGUCCUGGCCUGACGGUACCUUCAAAGGAAGCGCCGGCUAACUCCGUGCCAGCAGCCGCGGUAAUACGGAGGGCGCGAGCGUUAAUCGGAAUCACUGGGCGUAAAGCGUGCGUAGGCGGUUUGAUAAGUCAGACGUGAAAUCCCUCGGCUCAACCGGGGAACUGCGUUUGAAACUGUUAGACUCGAGUCCUGGAGAGGGUGGCGGAAUUCCUGGUGUAGGAGUGAAAUCCGUAGAUAUCAGGAGGAACACCGGUGGCGAAGGCGGCCACCUGGACAGGUACUGACGCUGAGGCACGAAAGCGUGGGGAGCAAACAGGAUUAGAUACCCUGGUAGUCCACGCGGUAAACGAUGGAUGCUAGGUGUCGGGGANCGAUCUUCGGCGCCGCAGCUAACGCAUUAAGCAUCCCGCCUGGGGAGUACGGUCGCAAGG
RNAcentral lists this ribosomal RNA (822 nucleotides) under Desulfovibrionales bacterium LSR-S3A4. RNAcentral's name for it is "bacterial SSU rRNA". It matches the Rfam family "Bacterial small subunit ribosomal RNA", at positions 86 to 893 of the family's 1533-position model. The record is from RNAcentral. Lineage: Bacteria; Pseudomonadati; Thermodesulfobacteriota; Desulfovibrionia; Desulfovibrionales.